RNAcentral lists this ribosomal RNA (448 nucleotides) under uncultured bacterium. RNAcentral's name for it is "bacterial SSU rRNA". It matches the Rfam family "Bacterial small subunit ribosomal RNA", at positions 329 to 794 of the family's 1533-position model. The record is from RNAcentral.
AUCCAGACUCCUACGGGAGGCAGCAGUGGGGAAUAUUGCACAAUGGGGGAAACCCUGAUGCAGCGACGCCGCGUGAGCGAUGAAGUAUUUCGGUAUGUAAAGCUCUAUCAGCAGGGAAGAAGAUGACGGUACCUGACUAAGAAGCCCCGGCUAACUACGUGCCAGCAGCCGCGGUAAUACGUAGGGGGCAAGCGUUAUCCGGAUUUACUGGGUGUAAAGGGAGCGUAGACGGCGAUGCAAGCCAGAUGUGAAAGCCCGGGGCUCAACCCCGGGACUGCAUUUGGAACUGUGUGGCUGGAGUGUCGGAGAGGCAGGCGGAAUUCCUAGUGUAGCGGUGAAAUGCGUAGAUAUUAGGAGGAACACCAGUGGCGAAGGCGGCCUGCUGGACGAUGACUGACGUUGAGGCUCGAAAGCGUGGGGAGCAAACAGGAUUAGAUACCCCAGUAGG